RNAcentral lists this small RNA (326 nucleotides) under Arabidopsis thaliana (thale cress). RNAcentral's name for it is "ATSL046660". The record is from RNAcentral. Lineage: Eukaryota; Viridiplantae; Streptophyta; Magnoliopsida; Brassicales; Brassicaceae.
AUAAUACAUAAAAUAAAUACAAUUUAAAAUAUAUUUAUAAGCAAAAUAAAGAUACAAUAUACAUAUAAUAGUAUAUUAGCAGUUAAAUAUAAACUCUAAGAAAAUGACAGAAACCAAGUUGGGUACCCACGGAUAGUCUCGGAACAAUCAGGUUUUUUCGGGCUUUACCCACUAAAUCAAAAACUCAUCUGGGUUUUCUAAAGUUAAGUUUUUGAUGGGCGGGUUUUUUUUGGGUUCAGGUCGGGCUAGACUUUUCUACCCACCACAACAUCUCUAGAUUCAAGUAUUGGUACAUCCGUCAAGAAUAUGAACAAUGCUUAUUCGUU